RNAcentral lists this ribosomal RNA (465 nucleotides) under uncultured bacterium. RNAcentral's name for it is "partial 16S ribosomal RNA". It matches the Rfam family "Bacterial small subunit ribosomal RNA", at positions 28 to 507 of the family's 1533-position model. The record is from RNAcentral.
GACGAACGCUGGCGGCGUGCUUAACACAUGCAAGUCGAACGGAAAGGCCCUGCUUGCAGGGUACUCGAGUGGCGAACGGGUGAGUAACACGUGGGUGAUCUGCCCUUCACUUCGGGAUAAGCCUGGGAAACUGGGUCUAAUACCGGAUAGGAGCCAUUUUUAGUGUGAUGGUUGGAAAGUUUUUUCGGUGUAGGAUGAGCUCGCGGCCUAUCAGCUUGUUGGUGGGGUAAUGGCCUACCAAGGCGGCGACGGGUAGCCGGCCUGAGAGGGUGGACGGCCACAGUGGGACUGAGAUACGGCCCAGACUCCUACGGGAGGCAGCAGUGGGGAAGAUUGCACAAUGGGCGCAAGCCUGAUGCAGCGACGCCGCGUGGGGGAGGACGGCCUUCGGGUUGGAAACUCCUUUCGCUAGGGACGAAGCUUUUUGUGACGGUACCUAGAUAAGAAGCACCGGCUAACUACGUG